Molecule: ribosomal RNA, 497 nt
Filed under: uncultured bacterium
Lineage: Bacteria
Description: partial 16S ribosomal RNA
Rfam family: Bacterial small subunit ribosomal RNA
Source: RNAcentral
GAUGAACGCUGGCGGCGUGCCUAAUACAUGCAAGUCGAGCGAACGGACGAGAAGCUUGCUUCUCUGAUGUUAGCGGCGGACGGGUGAGUAACACGUGGAUAACCUACCUAUAAGACUGGGAUAACUUCGGGAAACCGUAGCUAAUACCGGAUAAUAUUUUGAACCGCAUGGUUCAAAAGCGAAAGACGGUCUUGCUGUCACUUAUAGAUGGAUCCGCGCUGCAUUAGCUAGUUGGUAAGGUAACGGCUUACCAAGGCAACGAUGCAUAGCCGACCUGAGGGGGUGAUCGGCCACACUGGAACUGAGACACGGUCCAGACUCCUACGGGAGGCAGCAGUAGGGAAUCUUCCGCAAUGGGCGAAAGCCUGACGGAGCAACGCCGCGUGAGUGAUGAAGGUCUUCGGAUCGUAAAACUCUGUUAUUAGGGAAGAACAUAUGUGUAAGUAACUGUGCACAUCUUGACGGUACCUAAUCAGAAAGCCACGGCUAACUACGUG